UAUCAGGUUGCUGCUAAAGUAAUUGUGGGUUUUGCCAAAGUAAUGGCAAAAACUGCAAUCACUUUUGCACCAAUCUAAUA
RNAcentral lists this microRNA precursor (80 nucleotides) under Saimiri boliviensis boliviensis (Bolivian squirrel monkey). RNAcentral describes it as "miRNA (ENSSBOG00000011588.1)". The record is from RNAcentral. Lineage: Eukaryota; Metazoa; Chordata; Mammalia; Primates; Cebidae.